AUUGAACGCUGGCGGCAUGCUUUACACAUGCAAGUCGAACGGCAGCGGGGGCUUCGGCCCGCCGGCGAGUGGCGAACGGGUGAGUAAUGCAUCGGAACGUGCCCAGUCGUGGGGGAUAACACAUCGAAAGAUGUGCUAAUACCGCAUACGUCCUGAGGGAGAAAGCGGGGGAUCUUCGGACCUCGCGCGAUUGGAGCGGCCGAUGUCGGAUUAGCUAGUUGGUGGGGUAAAAGCCCACCAAGGCGACGAUCCGUAGCGGGUCUGAGAGGAUGAUCCGCCACACUGGGACUGAGACACGGCCCAGACUCCUACGGGAGGCAGCAGUGGGGAAUUUUGGACAAUGGGGGGCAACCCCUGAUCCAGCCAUGCCGCGUGAGUGAAG
Molecule: ribosomal RNA, 382 nt
Filed under: uncultured bacterium
Lineage: Bacteria
Description: bacterial SSU rRNA
Rfam family: Bacterial small subunit ribosomal RNA
Source: RNAcentral